This 478-nucleotide ribosomal RNA is filed under the name uncultured bacterium. RNAcentral describes it as "partial 16S ribosomal RNA". It matches the Rfam family "Bacterial small subunit ribosomal RNA", at positions 28 to 523 of the family's 1533-position model. The record is from RNAcentral.
GACGAACGCUGGCGGCGUGCUUAACACAUGCAAGUCGAACGGUAAGGCCCUUCGGGGUACACGAGUGGCGAACGGGUGAGUAACACGUGGGUGAUCUGCCCUGCACUUCGGGAUAAGCCUGGGAAACUGGGUCUAAUACCGGAUAGGACCACUGCCUGCAUGGGUGGUGGUGGAAAGCUUUUGCGGUGUGGGAUGGGCCCGCGGCCUAUCAGCUUGUUGGUGGGGUGAUGGCCUACCAAGGCGACGCCGGGUAGCCGGCCUGAGAGGGUGACCGGCCACACGGGGACUGAGAUACGGCCCAGACUCCUACGGGAGGCAGCAGUGGGGAAGAUUGCACAAUGGGCGCAAGCCUGAUGCAGCGACGCCGCGUGAGGGAUGACGGCCUUCGGGUUGUAAACCUCUUUCAGCACCGACGAAGCGCAAGUGACGGUAGGUGCAGAAGAAGGACCGGCCAACUACGUGCCAGCCGCCGCGGUAA